RNAcentral lists this transfer RNA (47 nucleotides) under Trachythecium verrucosum. RNAcentral describes it as "partial tRNA-Phe". It matches the Rfam family "tRNA", at positions 1 to 46 of the family's 71-position model. Rfam says of the family: Transfer RNA (tRNA) molecules are approximately 80 nucleotides in length. RNAcentral also lists the same sequence under 2 other names. The record is from RNAcentral. Lineage: Eukaryota; Viridiplantae; Streptophyta; Bryopsida; Hypnales; Symphyodontaceae.
GCCGGAAUAGCUCAGUUGGUAGAGCAGAGGACUGAAAAUCCUCGUGC